This 482-nucleotide ribosomal RNA is filed under the name uncultured bacterium. RNAcentral describes it as "partial 16S ribosomal RNA". It matches the Rfam family "Bacterial small subunit ribosomal RNA", at positions 30 to 507 of the family's 1533-position model. The record is from RNAcentral.
AUUGAACGCUGGCGGCAUGCCUUACACAUGCAAGUCGAACGGUAACAGGUCUUCGGAUGCUGACGGGUGGCGAACGGGUGAGUAAUACAUCGGAACGUGCCCGAUCGUGGGGGAUAACGAGGCGAAAGCUUUGCUAAUACCGCAUACGAUCUACGGAUGAAAGCGGGGGAUCUUCGGACCUCGCGCGGACGGAGCGGCCGAUGGCAGAUUAGGUAGUUGGUGGGAUAAAAGCUUACCAAGCCGACGAUCUGUAGCUGGUCUGAGAGGAUGAUCAGCCACACUGGGACUGAGACACGGCCCAGACUCCUACGGGAGGCAGCAGUGGGGAAUUUUGGACAAUGGGCGAAAGCCUGAUCCAGCCAUGCCGCGUGCAGGAUGAAGGCCUUCGGGUUGUAAACUGCUUUUGUACGGAACGAAAAGCCUCUUUCUAAUAAAGAGGGGUCAUGACGGUACCGUAAGAAUAAGCACCGGCUAACUACGUG